RNAcentral lists this small nuclear RNA (21 nucleotides) under Arabidopsis thaliana (thale cress). Its description in RNAcentral is "snRNA_03678". Lineage: Eukaryota; Viridiplantae; Streptophyta; Magnoliopsida; Brassicales; Brassicaceae. The record is from RNAcentral.
UACCGGCGAUUGAUGUCGCAU